Molecule: ribosomal RNA, 791 nt
Filed under: Staphylococcus aureus
Lineage: Bacteria; Bacillati; Bacillota; Bacilli; Caryophanales; Staphylococcaceae
Description: partial 23S ribosomal RNA
Rfam family: Bacterial large subunit ribosomal RNA
Source: RNAcentral
CGUAGGCGAUGGAUAACAGGUUGAUAUUCCUGUACCACCUAUAAUCGUUUUAAUCGAUGGGGGGACGCAGUAGGAUAGGCGAAGCGUGCGAUUGGAUUGCACGUCUAAGCAGUAAGGCUGAGUAUUAGGCAAAUCCGGUACUCGUUAAGGCUGAGCUGUGAUGGGGAGAAGACAUUGUGUCUUCGAGUCGUUGAUUUCACACUGCCGAGAAAAGCCUCUAGAUAGAAAAUAGGUGCCCGUACCGCAAACCGACACAGGUAGUCAAGAUGAGAAUUCUAAGGUGAGCGAGCGAACUCUCGUUAAGGAACUCGGCAAAAUGACCCCGUAACUUCGGGAGAAGGGGUGCUCUUUAGGGUUAACGCCCAGAAGAGCCGCAGUGAAUAGGCCCAAGCGACUGUUUAUCAAAAACACAGGUCUCUGCUAAACCGUAAGGUGAUGUAUAGGGGCUGACGCCUGCCCGGUGCUGGAAGGUUAAGAGGAGUGGUUAGCUUCUGCGAAGCUACGAAUCGAAGCCCCAGUAAACGGCGGCCGUAACUAUAACGGUCCUAAGGUAGCGAAAUUCCUUGUCGGGUAAGUUCCGACCCGCACGAAAGGCGUAACGAUUUGGGCACUGUCUCAACGAGAGACUCGGUGAAAUCAUAGUACCUGUGAAGAUGCAGGUUACCCGCGACAGGACGGAAAGACCCCGUGGAGCUUUACUGUAGCCUGAUAUUGAAAUUCGGCACAGCUUGUACAGGAUAGGUAGGAGCCUUUGAAACGUGAGCGCUAGCUUACGUGGAGGCGCUGGUGGG